AAUUAUUUGGCCGAGGACAGGCAGAUACUUUGAAAGUACCCCACAGAGGUUUAAGCCCUCUAGUAAUUU
RNAcentral lists this transfer RNA (69 nucleotides) under Chorisquilla orientalis. RNAcentral's name for it is "tRNA-Ser". The record is from RNAcentral. Lineage: Eukaryota; Metazoa; Arthropoda; Malacostraca; Stomatopoda; Protosquillidae.